RNAcentral lists this ribosomal RNA (292 nucleotides) under uncultured bacterium. Its description in RNAcentral is "partial 16S ribosomal RNA". It matches the Rfam family "Bacterial small subunit ribosomal RNA", at positions 505 to 796 of the family's 1533-position model. The record is from RNAcentral.
GUGUCAGCCGCCGCGGUAAUACGUAGGGUGCGAGCGUUAAUCGGAAUUACUGGGCGUAAAGCGUGCGCAGGCGGUUCGUUAAGUCAGCUGUGAAAGCCCCGGGCUCAACCUGGGAACGGCAGUUGAAACUGGCGGGCUGGAGUGUGGCAGAGGGGGGUGGAAUUCCACGUGUAGCAGUGAAAUGCGUAGAGAUGUGGAGGAACACCGAUGGCGAAGGCAGCCCCCUGGGCCAACACUGACGCUCAGGCACGAAAGCGUGGGGAGCAAACAGGAUUAGAAACCCCCGUAGUCC